Long non-coding RNA from Corticium candelabrum, 2409 nucleotides. RefSeq lists it as uncharacterized. The record is from RefSeq and is a predicted model, not a curated record. The transcript has 9 exons. Lineage: Eukaryota; Metazoa; Porifera; Homoscleromorpha; Homosclerophorida; Plakinidae.
CUUAGCUGUCUUAGCACAAUAGCGACAUGUCUAGAAGCAAGCAGAGAGGUACGAGGAGUACCUUCGCAAUACAGAUAAUAUGCUAAGACGUGUCAGAUUAGAGUUGAUUGAGACUCUCAUAAAUGAAGAAUUGUCUUCACGGGUACCGCUACGCAAAUCUAGGCAAACUGGCCGAGGUCAACGAACGAUGCAUGCAGUUCUCGUGAUGAUGAUAUGCCACAUCUAGAUCUUGAUUCAGGUUCGCACUUGACGAAGUUCACUUUGAUGAACCACUUGGUGAUGGAACUGACGCUGAUCUUUCCCACACUGAAGUUCCUGAAAGAAAGGAAUUUUUAUAAUGAUAUAGAUGAUUGAUGUGAGGAUUUGGAAGACUCCAGCAGUGGUUUUGAGUUCAUUUCUAGCAGUGAGGCUGGAAGAGACGAUGUACCUGACUGUUACAAUACUGAGACAUCAAAUUGUAUGGAAAAUGAUGCUUCUGAUGAACACCUUUUCCUUGUUGUCCUUUUAAGUUUAACACUAGAUGAAAGUACAGUUUUGCUUAUUUGCUUUAUUGCUCGUCACAAACUGUCAAUGAAGGCUGUUGGAGAUUUGCUAGAGCUAAUGUGUUUGCACAUUUUCCUGAAGGCCAUUUUGCUAUGCCAUCACUUUAUCGUCUCAAAUCCUACUGGAAAAGGAAGCACCAUCAACACCAGUACACAAAAUAUUAUGUCUGCUCAAACUGUGAAACUCUUUUGGGCAAAUCUGCUGUAUCAUACCCCAACUCUGUUUGUGUUAAUGCUAGGGCAUCAUUAUUUGAAUUUCUAGUUUUGAAUGUAGUAUCUGCUCUUGGCAAACUUUUCAAAGGAUUACUUAAUGUUGUUUAUUGUUGCAUUGUGUAGCAUGUUGUAGUUGAUUGAUUUGUAUUUUAGAUCCUACAUUUUGCGUUGAAAUCUUGGGAAACUAGAAGUAAAGUAUCUGACAUUACUAGUGGUUCUAUGUACCAGACAAUUCUCAGGUCAGGGUAUUACCACUGACCGUGGAAUGUGAAAAUGACUCUGAAUACCGACGGUGUAUUGGUAUUUAAGACAUCUCAGGCUGGUUCACUGUGGCCAGUGUAUCUCACCAUCAAUAAACUUCCUUCAAAAUAUCGAUACUCACUCAAGUAUACACUUCUUUGUGGUCUUUGGUUCCAGCCCCAGAAGCCGCCAGUUCAAGCUUUUUUUGGGACCAGUUCUGGAACGGCUCAACUGUUUGGCAACUGAAGGCGUCACAAUUCAAACUGCAGAAGGAACCAAACAAUGUCAGGCCAGACUUGUGCUAGUUAUAUGUGAUCUCCCAGCCAGAGCCAUGGUUAAGUACAUGAUUCAGCACAAUGGCAAGUAUACUUGCCUCUAUUGUUAUCAUCAAGGUGUCACUGUCGGAGAGGACCACCUUCAUCGUUACUGACCUUACGAUUGCAAUGCAAGACUAAGAAGUCAUGAAUCUAUAAAACAAGACAGUGGGAGGCAGUUGAACAACAAACACCAUGCAGAGGUGUAUUUGACAUAGCCUCUCGGCUGUUAGCUGCAAGGGAAUUUGAUCUUGUUCAGAGCAUUGAAAUUGAUUAGAUUCAUGACGAUGUAGUUUGUCUUGGUGUGAUCCAAUCACUGCUAAAGAAGUGACUAAAUGACAAGUUCAAGCUCUACUAUGUUGGAGAUAAAGUAGCAUUUUGGAACAGACGUUUGCUGUCUAUACACCCACUGUUUGCAAUCAUUUACAUGCCUCAAAAUCUGAAAGAAGUCCCAUUGUGAAAAGCAAAUGAGUUGCGGGCAUUUUUAUUUCAUUGAUCACUUUCUGUACUUCCUGGUGUGUUAGACAUUAAAGUGCUACAUACACACUACUCUUUGUUUGUAGUGUUAUGUCGUUUACUUUGUGCAACUGUGUUGACUCAUAACCACAUUACUCUGGCUUGACAUUACUUGUUGAAGCUUUAUCAACUACAAGAACUUUAUGGAACAGAAUCAUUGGCUAUGAAAAUGCAUCUUCUUCGGCACCUUCCUGACACUGUUGAGAAAUGGGGUUCAUUAUCGUUGUAUUCAUGUUUCAGGUAUGAGUCUCUCAACGGUACCCUGAAACAUUUUAUACAUGGGACACGCUGUGUCUUCAGUCGAGUACUGUACAUGUCACUUGUAUUUAUAUCUAAUUUUUUGUGAUAGUUACUCUUAUUUUUCUGCAAGGUGGCAACAGCUGUUGGAACGAUGCAAACAAUGCCAGAUAUUUUGACAAGCUAUUGUUACUGAGGUUUGCUGUGGUUGGCUGAAAUCAAUUGAUAAUAAGUGUCAAUGUGUCUCUGCAAAGACAAUUGUCAUAGCAACUGCACAAUGGCAGUGAACAGAAUUGUGUGGCAAUUAAACUAUAUGCCAUGAUAAUUCUUAGUAAAAUUUAUUGAAA